CCUACGGGAGGCAGCAGUGGGGAAUAUUGCACAAUGGGGGAAACCCUGAUGCAGCGACGCCGCGUGAGUGAAGAAGUAUUUCGGUACGUAAAGCUCUAUCAGCAGGGAAGAAAAUGACGGUACCUGACUAAGAAGCCCCGGCUAACUACGUGCCAGCAGCCGCGGUAAUACGUAGGGGGCAAGCGUUAUCCGGAUUUACUGGGUGUAAAGGGAGCGUAGACGGCAGCGCAAGUCUGGAGUGAAAUCCCAUGGCUUAACCGUGGAACUGCUUUGGAAACUGGGCAGCUAGAGUGCAGGAGAGGUAAGCGGAAUUCCUAGUGUAGCGGUAAAAUGCGUAGAUAUUAGGAGGAACACUAGUGGCGAAGGCGACUUACUGGACUGUAACUGACGUUGAGGCUCGAAAGCGUGGGGAGCAAACAGGAUUAGAUACCCCAGUAGUC
RNAcentral lists this ribosomal RNA (440 nucleotides) under uncultured bacterium. Its description in RNAcentral is "partial 16S ribosomal RNA". It matches the Rfam family "Bacterial small subunit ribosomal RNA", at positions 338 to 795 of the family's 1533-position model. The record is from RNAcentral.